UAUCAAUAAGCUGGAGCAAAAGGGUCCCUGCCUAGCACUAGUAGGAACUUGAAGAUCUCUUUUCUGGUACUAGGCCCUUGCCUAUGUUCCUUGGAACAGGACGUCCUAGAGGGUGAGAAUCCCGUCUGAUGGGGUGUCCAGUGCUUUGUAGAUUUCUAUCGAAGAGUCGAGUUGUUUGGGAAUGCAGCUCUAAGUGGGUGGUAAAUUCCAUCUAAAGCUAAAUACUGGCGAGAGACCGAUAGCGAACAAGUACAGUGAUGGAAAGAUGAAAAGAACUUUGAAAAGAGAGUGAAAAAUUACGUGAAAUUGUUGAAAGGGAAGGGUAUUGGAUCAGACUUGGUGUUUUGUGAUUAUCUUCCCUUCUUGGGUUGUGCACUCGCAUUUCACUGGGCCAGCAUCGGUUCGGAUGGCAAGAUAAUGGCUUGGGAACGUGGCACUCUUCGGAGUGUGUUAUAUCCCUUGUUUGAUGUUGCCUAUCUGGACCGAGGACUGCGGCUUCUGCCUAGGAUGCUUGGCCGUAAUGAUUCAAUACC
RNAcentral lists this ribosomal RNA (533 nucleotides) under Petasospora americana. RNAcentral's name for it is "eukaryotic LSU rRNA". It matches the Rfam family "Eukaryotic large subunit ribosomal RNA", at positions 92 to 646 of the family's 3401-position model. The record is from RNAcentral. Lineage: Eukaryota; Fungi; Ascomycota; Saccharomycetes; Phaffomycetales; Wickerhamomycetaceae.